GGUAGUGCCUGCCUGUGCUGGCCCCACGGUCAGAAAGCUCCCCUAAAAAGUGGGAGAAUCCGAUCUUCGCGCCAUGCGGGAGCACGCAGACCAUUGAAGACAAAGUGAGAAGACAGCUGUCUACAGCCAGGAAGAGGGCCUCCACCAGGAGCCAAGUUGGCCGGCACCUUGAUCUUGGACUUCUCAGCCCCGAGAGCUAUCCCUUCUCAACCUCUCAGUCAACUGAAGCCUCUCUGGACUUCACAGCCUAGUUUGGUGCAGUUCCAGUGUGCAGUCACUCACGGUGUGUUGUCCAUGCCAGGCUCUGGGUCGGGCACUGCGCACCCAGAAUUAAAAAGUGCCCACCCAGUCCCCACCCCAGAGGAGCUGCAGCCUGGUGAGGUGGCAGACAGGUCGAUAACCGCUAACCAUCGCCAGGAUGUCGUGUGGUAGGCUGGAUAAGCCUGAAAGCCCCGCGAGUGUCCCACCCUCAGGCCCGUCAGACCAGACUUGCUCUGAGGGAGGAGUUCUCUCCCAAGUUGCCAUGGGUUAAGCCUCCUGCAGCCAAUGGCCUCAGUCCACAUGCUGGCCCUGGCUCAUACUACUGGCCUCAUGCAAGACUUUGAGCCAAUCGCUAAUGAAGAGAUCUGGCUUAUGUCUGCCCAAUAAGGACCAACCCACCAAUCAGCCAGCCAUCUGACAAAUAUUUAUUGAAUAUGCACUCUGUUCCAAGCCCUGGACUGAAUAACUCACAUUGGCCCUGCGCCUUGGAGUGUUACACUCUUAGGGGAGGCAGACGUUAACCGGUAACCACACUCUGGUAUAAAAGCCCACUGUACCCACAGCAGGGACAGUCACCAUGCUGGGGGAGCCAGAGAGGCUUCUCUGGAAAGUGCUAAUUGACCUGAGAUCUUCCAGAAGGUCAGGAAUUGAACAAAGAAAAGGACAUUCCCAAGAGAGGCUACCAGAGCAUGUGCAAAGGCCCUGAGGUGACAGGACAUGUGGGAUGAGAUGGUGGUUGCCAGAAUGGGCCAAAUGGGUCUCAGUUAGGGAGCUUCAUCUAUCAGAGUGAUGGCAGCCAGGUAAGGGCUUACAGCAGGGAAGAGAUGGAGACUCCUCCCUCCAAAGUGCAAGUCCCAUCAACCUCCUGCCCCCACUCCUUCUCACUGUGACUUGGGCCUAUACUCUCUCACCAGGAGCAGCGGCCUCCACCCAUCCCUUCUGCCUUCCCCUAAUUUCAUGCCCACACUCCAAUAUUCUGUGCAGCAGCCAGAACGAUCUUUCAAAGUCCAACCAUUUUAAAAGAAAAGAAUAAUCAUGCUACUUGGUAAGGCAGACUUUAUUCGGGACUAUCAUGAUAGGUAUGGGGAGCACUGCGUGGGCUUUUGUAGUAAGGGAGAGAGAUUGCCCUCAACUCCAAAUACAAUAAGGAAAAGUGGGAGUUUAUCCCCAAGGAGCAGGGGAAAGGGGGCUACUGAGGGGAAACAUCUGGCUAAAUGGGCCUAGCAGGGUUCUUACAGAAGGCAGGCCAGGGUGCUCAGAUGUCACCUGGAGGUUGGUGGCAGAUGAGGAACUUGGUCAAAUAUCAAGGGUGAUCAGGUAUUGAGGGUGAGGGAUUCUGGCCAAACCAACUUGAUAGGAAUCUUGCUAAAACUGGACUCUACAUGGACAAAGACAGGAGCCCAAGGCCAAGCAGAGGGCUCAAAGGAGCCUGCCUAAAGUUUGGUCAAGAAGAGACUCUUUAGCCCUGAUUAAUUAUCUCAAUGGUUAGAGCGA
This is a long non-coding RNA of Myotis davidii, 1755 nucleotides long. RefSeq lists it as uncharacterized. The record is from RefSeq and is a predicted model, not a curated record. The transcript is spliced from 3 exons. NCBI's taxonomy places the organism in Eukaryota, Metazoa, Chordata, Mammalia, Chiroptera, Vespertilionidae.